GGGGGUGGAUCGGGCCUGGUGGCCUGACCGGUCUUCAAAACCGCGAUGGAGGCGCCUCAGGCGGCUCCGGUGGGUUCGAUUCCCACACGCUCCCGCCA
RNAcentral lists this transfer RNA (98 nucleotides) under Gemmatimonadota bacterium. RNAcentral's name for it is "tRNA-Sec". It matches the Rfam family "Selenocysteine transfer RNA". The record is from RNAcentral. Lineage: Bacteria; Pseudomonadati; Gemmatimonadota.